Molecule: unclassified non-coding RNA, 3901 nt
Filed under: Sitophilus oryzae (rice weevil)
Lineage: Eukaryota; Metazoa; Arthropoda; Insecta; Coleoptera; Curculionidae
Description: chaoptin, transcript variant X1
Source: RNAcentral
UCCCAAUAAACCCAUCAUGAACCGACCUCUAAUUUUUUUCUAGAGCGCUUUCUUCGUCAUUAAAACCCCGCUUGCUCUAUCCCGCUGCUUUAUUUCUUCUUCAGCCUUCGAUAUUCCGCUGGAAUUUACACGAUUUGCUAUUGAAAUAAAUCAAAUUUAGGCUAAGCCCUCGGUUUGCCAAGUAGUCGAUAGAAUUAUACCAAGUUAAUCUCAUUAGCGGAAACCUUUCCAGUCUGGCUCGGGGCUGUUAAUCGGGCUUCGUUUGAGGCAAUCUACUAGGUCAGUCUGCUAGUUUACUAAUUAGGUACGAUGGUGACAGAAGUAUAGUGGAAAAAUAUAUGAAUAGUGUACUUCGGGAUAAGGAAGGUUUAUGUGUGGAUCAGGACUGGAAGUGUUUCGUGUUGAUCGAGUGAAUCAUGGAACUUUAUAGAGCGAUGUAUUUCGGCUAUGUCCUGGUCCUGGCAGUAUUCUUCCUCAUGAUUUGGGUGUCUUAUGUCGAAUCCAAAGAACAAGAGUCCGUAAAGUACCCUCCUUGUUUCUUCAACCCGCUGUGUAGUUGUUCGAAGGCAGUACCAGACUUGGGAAUAGUCCAGUGCAAAGACGUACACUUGUCUAGGAUUCCUGAAACAGUAAAUGUUUCCAAGGCGUUCAUGUUACACCUGGAAAAUAAUGGAUUGAGAACAUUGGAACCGUUUUUUCUACAAAGCACAGGAUUGUACAAGAUAGUUAUUUCAAACAAUCCAUUGGUGAUGGUGCCGGAUGAGUCGUUUUUAGGCCUGGAAAGAUCCUUGUGGGAAUUGAAAUUGAGCCACUGUCAUUUAACUAGAGUUCCUAAUAGAGCUUUAAGGUACUUGCAGAAGUUAAGACUACUUGAUCUUACAGGAAACGAUAUAAUCAAAAUAUCUCCAGAAAACUGGAGAGGUCUGGAAAGUUCCCUGGAAGUACUUAUUUUAUCCGAAAAUGCCAUUAACCACAUUCCCAUAGAUGCUUUCUCUGGCCUGCCCAUGCUGGAUACUAUCGAUUUAAGAGGAAACCACCUACGCGAAAUAGAUCCAUCUGUAUUUCGUGAUGGUAUGGGUAAAUUAUCCCACCUGCUACUGGGCGACAAUCAGUUGAGUGCCAUACCUUACCAAGCUUUGCAACCUUUAAGAACUUUGAAAACUCUGGAUCUGAGCUAUAACAGAAUUAACAAAAUGUCACCCUCUACUGAGCCUGGAGUAAAUAUAAAUCUCAAUUUUCAACUUAACUUAGACACAUUUAGACUGGAUUACAAUCAACUGCGUGUCUUGGAACCUGCUUCUUUUCAAUACUUCAAUAUCGUCAACAAGACGUACCUCGAUGGAAAUCCUUUAUCCGCUGUAGAGAACGACGCAUUCAGGCAAGCAAAAAUAAGGGAGCUCUUUCUUCGGAGUUGUGGAUUGACCAAUAUCUCUCCCGCUGCGUUUGCAGGCCUGGAAAACUUUCUGGAAGUUUUGGAUUUAUCCGGAAACAAUAUUUCUCUGCUUCCCAACGAACUGUUUCAAAGGUUUCAGUAUAUCAGAACACUGUUCCUACGAGACAAUAUCAUCACGAAACUCAGUCCUAGCGAAGCGUUCAAUAGUUUCCAGUACACUCUGUAUAAUUUGGACUUAAGUGGUUCUCAAAACAUGCCCAUUAAUAUACAAGACUUACGAAGAUUAAGAAGUUUAAGAUCUCUUUCUUUAUCUCGCCUAAACCAGCCUCAUAUUGAACCCGAUGAUUUUCUGGAAUUUGGAAUCGAUCUGGAAGAAAUGUCUAUAACUUAUGCAGGGAUACAAAGCAUAAAAAACAACGCAUUUAAGCAUGUGCACGGAUUAAAAUCGAUCGAUUUUUCCGAUAACAGCUUGACCACUAUUGAAGCCGAUGCUUUUGUUGAUAUUGGUCAUUCUCUGGAGCAAUUAUCUUUGGCCCAUGCGUUUUCUGCAUCUUUCUCCACAGUGCCUAGCGACGCAAUUAAAGUUUUAAACAAUUUGGAGUUCCUGGAUUUGAGCAAUAACAAGUUUAAAACGUUGGGAGAGACCAGUUUUCAUUUCCUGAAGAAGUUACGGAAAAUUGAAUUACAGGACAACCUGAUUGAUGUAAUUCACAAAGGCACUUUCCAGGGUGAUAUUCAUUCCAACUUAGAAGAAAUAUAUUUCUCUUUUAACAAUAUUAAAACAGUACCUCAGCAUACUUUUGUCCACUUGCCUCAACUAGAACGACUCUUUCUCGAUGACAAUCAAUUAGAAAGUUUAGAUCGUCGAGCUUUCAUGAACUUGGAACACCUGAAAUCACUUAAUCUCAAAGGAAACAAACUAACAAAAAUAUCAUACGAGGCGUUUCAAAAUUUGCCAGAAUUGGAAGAUUUGGAUUUAGCUUAUAACGAUCUGAAAUCUCUGGAUUUUAUGAUGUUUGAUCAGGUCGGUACACUGGCAAUGUUCAGUGUCAAUAUCAGUCAUAACAGUCUAAAGGAAUUGUUGGUGAAUUUGUCUCCAGGGUUUGAUACUCAAAUAGGAUUCGGAGGUUUCCACUCCAAUGUCAAAGUGUUGGACAUGUCCUACAACAAUAUCAGUCUUAUAGCCAAGCAGUUUUUUAGACCAGCCGAAAUAUCCUUGACUCAUCUUUAUUUAUCUCACAAUAAAAUACUGAACGCUACAAGGGAUGUGUUUGGAAAUAUGCCCCACUUACAGUGGUUGGACGUAUCUUGGAACCAGAUCUAUGAGAUGGAUUUCGAUAUGUUUAGGAAUACGAAAAAAUUGCAGGUUUUAGAUGUAUCAUAUAAUAGAAUCGCAGACAUACCGAAUGAUAUAUUUCGAUUUCUAAGCAACCUGCGACUGGUAAAUCUGUCAAACAACAGACUGCGAUCGUUACCUGAUAAUUUAUUCAGAGAAGAAGGUCUUGAAAGACUAGAUCUAUCCAACAAUCUCUUAAGCAAGCUGCCUUUGAAUGGUAUUUCUACAGCUCCAGCACAUACACUGUGCGAAUUGGAUCUUUCAGCAAAUCUUAUAUCGUCCUUAUCUCAUGGAGGACUUCUUGAGCGAUUCAAAAAAUUGAACUAUUUGGAUCUGUCGUAUAAUCGUUUGGCUCAAAUCGAUGCUGGCACGUUCAAAGGGUUGCCUAGAUUGCUUGCCCUAGAUCUGAGCCAUAAUGGUCAAUUGGUUCUGGAAUACAACGGUGGAAGCUUCCAGGGGUUGGAGUACUCUUUGUUGCAUUUGAAUUUAAAUAAUGCAUCAUUAUCUAUGGUACCAAUAUUACCCACUCCAAACCUAGUUUCUCUAUCUUUGGCAUACAAUUCAUUACCGAACAUUCCACCAGAGACAGCUACAAAUAUGACCAACUUACAGUUUCUAAAUCUAAACUAUAACGAUCUCACAACCAUUCCUAUAUUGACUCACUCUUUAUUUGAACUGAGAUAUCUUUUCAUGAUGUCAAACCCUGUAACUUAUCUUAGUAACACUAGUCUACUUGGAGUAGCUGAUCAUUUGGAGGAAUUGGACAUACGAAAUUUUGAUUUAACCGUUUUAGAGUCUGGAGCAUUUUGCAAAAUGUAUUCACUGAGAACAUUAAAAAUGAGUCUAUAUACGGGAUUUAAAACAUUUAACAUACCCAAUAUCAUUCAGUGGAACCAUGGGCUAAAAAACUUGGAAAUACAUAUAGACCAAGCGAUUCUAAUUUGGAGAAAGAAAUGGCGGGAGAAUUUCCUUUAAAAUUGAGAAAUAUUACGUUUUCUGGGAAAGGGUUGAAGAAAUUAGGGUCCAACAUAUUUCAGGGCAUUCGAUAUCCUCAGCUGCACGUUGGUAUCAGAAACACCACCAUUCCCCAGAUCAGCAGUGACCUGUUCAGAGAUACAGGGAGAGCCAGAAACUUAACCAUGGACCUUAGGGACAACGUAGGGCUUAAAAAC